UACGAAGGGGGCUAGCGUUGUUCGGAUUUACUGGGCGUAAAGCGCACGUAGGCGGAUACUUAAGUCAGGGGUGAAAUCCCGGGGCUCAACCCCGGAACUGCCUUUGAUACUGGGUAUCUCGAGUCCGGAAGAGGUGAGUGGAAUUCCGAGUGUAGAGGUGAAAUUCGUAGAUAUUCGGAGGAACACCAGUGGCGAAGGCGGCUCACUGGUCCGGUACUGACGCUGAGGUGCGAAAGCGUGGGGAUCAAACAGG
Molecule: ribosomal RNA, 253 nt
Filed under: uncultured bacterium
Lineage: Bacteria
Description: partial 16S ribosomal RNA
Rfam family: Bacterial small subunit ribosomal RNA
Source: RNAcentral